GGUGAACGCUGGCGGCGUGCUUGACACAUGCAAGUCGAACGGUAUGUGGCAACACAUAGAGUGGCGAACGGGUGAGUAACACGUGGGAACGUACCAUCUGCAGGGGGAUAACUGACCGAAAGGACAGCUAAUACCGCAUAAGUCCGGAAGGAGAAAGGUGCAAUAGCAUCGGCAGAAGAGCGGCCCGCGGUCCAUCAGCUAGUUGGUGAGGUAAGGGCUUACCAAGGCGACGACGGAUAGCCGGCGUGAGAGCGUGGCCGGCCACAAGGACACUGAGAUACGGGUCCUACUCCUACGGGAGGCAGCAGUGCGGAAUUUUAGAUAAUGGAGGGAACUCUGAUCUAGCGACGCCGCGUGCAGGAAGAAGGUCUUCGGAUUGUAAACUGCUGUGGUAAGGGAAAAUGCUAUGUAGAGUGGAAAGCUACAUAGAGGGAUGGUACCUAACUAGAAAGCCCCGGACUAACCUACGUUAGCCAGGCACGCCGCGGUAAGACGU
Molecule: ribosomal RNA, 496 nt
Filed under: uncultured bacterium
Lineage: Bacteria
Description: bacterial SSU rRNA
Rfam family: Bacterial small subunit ribosomal RNA
Source: RNAcentral